UUCUUCUUCUUUCUUUGAUGCACUACUUGAAACCUUAUCUAUUGGAUCAAUACCACUUCUUCUCCCUUUCUUACACCAACUGAAAUACUCUUAAAUCAAUUCCAUCUUAAACUUGGUUUAGCCUCAACACCUAAAACUCCUCUAUCACGACAUCAAAUUGGUCAUAGGCCCCGAUCUCUUUAGCCUAAAUAUCUGCAACACAAUCAUCUAAAACAUCACCUCGAAGUCUUUGUCCGAAAGUACAACUCAAGAGGAACACGAAAGCCUUUAAAGUAGUGGAUUUGAUGAAGUCUUGGUUCAAAGAUUGAAUUGAAGAGGAUUUCAAAUCCAUGGCUAAUGUUGACCUAUGUUCUCAUUUGGUUCAUUGUUCAUUCUAUUCUCUUGUAAAUUGUUCACAUGAAUUUUAUUUUAUUUAUUAUUAUUAUUAUUAUUUGUGUUCUGCAUUAAUUUUCAAUCAUUUAAGCUAAUUAUGGGCUUAAGAUUAUUGAUUGUUGUGGUGUUAAUUUGAAUUUUAAUAUUAUUUGUUCGUAUUUGGUAUAUUAUCAAAAUCUCGUUAUUUUGUUGUGAAAGGAAAGUGCAUUUAGGUAUGAUAUAUACUCAUUACUGGUUAUAGUUAGGGUUAGGGCUCAAUGGGCAUCCAGGAUGGGGCGAGGUGGGGAUGGGGUUAUUAAUCCUUUUGUUAACGAGGAUGGGAGCCAAUCAAUCUACCCCAACACGGGUUUGUGUCGAGAAUGGGAAAUAACUAUGUAAUCAAGGGUGAGAAUGGGAUAGGAAUGACCCGUCACAAACCCGUCCUAUUGUCAUUCCUACCUAUUAGGUUUAAAAAACCACAAGUGGUCUCUCAAUCGCUGAAUUAUAUCAAUAAAGUUAAAUAAAUAUAUAUAUAUAUAUAUAUAUAUAUAUCACAAAAUCAAAGUAAAAAAUUUAUUUUUAAAAACAAUUUAUCCAAACAAAUUUUUUGUUUUUAUUUUUUGAAAAAUGUUUUUAAAAAGUCAUUUUUUGGAAUCAAAAUGACUUUUAUUAGAGAUAAAUUGAAAUCUCACUUAUAAGUAAAAUUUUAUUUACGUGGGAAUCAUUUUUUAUUCUAUUUUCAUUGUCACUUGAAUUAUCCAAACAUAGGAAUAGAUGAGAAAGUGAAUAAGAUGUCCAUUCUCACUCUUCAUUCUUGCGUAUCAAACAUAGCCUUAAUGAACAAACCUAAAGUAAUAAGAAUCUUAAAUUAGGAAUUAAUUUAAGGAUUACGGUAGUGUUUGUUUUUUUGGCUUUUUGCUGAAAAUAAUUUAGUUUUAGAAUUUAGGUUGUUUGCUUUUUUUUUAAUUUUUUCAUGACUUAUUAUAAACUUUUUACUAAAUAGAAAAAACCAAAAUAUGUAACUUUUUCUAAAUAGAAAAAAUAACAUAUUGGUUUUUUUUACUUUUUAAUACUUAAUAGAAAUAAAAUACUACAAAAAAAAAAAAAACAACCUAAUAUUUAACACUAUUAAGCAUUAAGGUUCUAUUUAGAAUUAAAUUAAAAAACAAACACCACCUACCUAUUCAUCCCUUCCAGGUAGUUUCAUUAUUUCAACAUGAAUAUGUGAUAGGUCAAAUGGGUAUUUUAAUCUAUUACUAUUUUAUAUCAUUCAAAUCAAUUAUAGUAUAUGGAUCUUGGAUCAAUUUUGAGGUCCAUCUCACCUUAAAACAUAGUUAUCCCCACCCGGAUCCAUGACAAAAAACCACCCAAAUGAAGAAAAUUUCAUGGACUUGGUGUUAGCACGUUUUGUGGACUUUAGGGCAAUUAUAAUGGGUUGAGGAUUAAUUAACCGUGCAUAUAUGCGUGGACCACACCUAUUCUUUACAAAACAUUUAUAAAGAAAAUGCAUAGAGCGUGGAGCAUGUCAUCUAAAAUGCGCGUGAGCUCGGAUGAGACGAGAGAAAGAACAGAAAAGGAUCAAAGUGAACAACGGCACUGUUUGCCACGUCUGCUUCCCAAACGCUCAUCAUCAGUUCCCGUCCCCAAAAUCUCAUAAACCCUGUCCAUCACAACAACCGCCGCCGCCCAAAACCUCAUAAUCCCAACCCUCCACCACAGCCGCCAUCAUUCCCGGGCGCCACCAUGCAAGCAGCUCUGAUAACCCCUUCUCCUCGCGCCAUUCCCACCGGUUCCAUCACUGCCACGAGAACCACAAUUCCCCCUCAUGUGCGCCUCGUGUCUGUCCGAGCAUCGACCGAGGUAGCCCAAUCGCCGCCACCCGCAGUGAAAGAGACGGCCCACAAGCUCAACAAGUACAGCUCUCAUGUCACCGAGCCCAAGUCCCAGGGCGGCUCACAAGCCAUCCUCUAUGGCGUGGGUCUCUCGGAUGAGGACAUGCACAAGCCUCAAAUCGGUAUAUCAUCGGUUUGGUACGAGGGCAACACCUGCAACAUGCAUUUGUUGAAGCUUUCAGAGGCUGUGAAGGAGGGGGUGAGAGAUGCCGGCAUGGUUGGGUUCAGGUUCAACACUGUUGGUGUCAGCGAUGCCAUCUCAAUGGGCACGAGAGGCAUGUGCUAUAGCUUGCAGUCUAGGGAUUUGAUUGCUGAUAGUAUUGAGACGGUCAUGUCUGCUCAGUGGUAUGAUGGCAACAUUUCUAUUCCCGGUUGUGACAAAAAUGUAAGCCUUUUUUUUGGUUCUUUGCCAUUUCUGUCUUGGGUAUUUGUGAUUGUGACGAAGAAUGUGGAUUUUUGUAUUUCGUCUUCGAAUUUUUCUCCUCUGGAUGUUUAUUAUUGUGACAAAAACGUAAGCUAUUGUGCUGUGUUUUUUGUUUUUUCUCAACUGGGUAUCCAUGAUUAUGACAAGAAUUUGCAAUGCUGUGUUUAUUUUUGCCUUAUCUUUAUUGGGUUUUUAUGAAUGAUAUCCCCUUUGUUGAAUUAUGGUUUUUUUGAUAAAAAUUGUAUGUUCUUGGUCUCUGUUUUUUUGCUUCUUCUGGUUAUUUAUGGGGUUGUGACAAAAGUGCCAGGUAUUUUUUCUGCUUUUGCCUUUCCUCAACUGUGUCCUGUGGUUAUGCCAAAAAUGUGACCUUUUGUUCUAUGCUUUUUUGCUUUUCCCUUUUACUCAGUGAACUUCUGUUUAAAAUGUGAGCUCAUGUGUUGUAUUUUAUUUUUUUUGCACAUCUAAGUUUUUAUGAUUUUGAUUUUAUGAUUAUGGUUCAGUUGAAUGGGUCACUUUUUGUUUAUUCUUUCCUUUUGGGUGGGCCGUUCUAAUCAUGCCACUGUUAUAAGACAUUGGUGAUUCUUCUGAUUGCUGGAAAAUAUGUGCUUUUCAUGUUUUAUUCUAUCACUGGUGAUUUGAGAUUAUUCAGUUUGUAGCCUUUUUAUGAGUGCUGAUUAUCUUAGAACAUAUGCUGGCUGAAACUUGAUAUCUUGGUUUCAAAUGCUACUUUGUCUCUCUACUUGGGUUGAAAAAUGAUGGUAGCUUUUCUGGCUUGGAAACAUAAUUAAUCAUAUUUAAAAGCUUGGAUGUUGAAAUCCUAUUUGAUGUAUUUAUGUUGGUGAGGAGGCAGUUUAUAGGAUUUUGUACUUAUACUAAAUUCAGAUGCCAGAGUUGGUUGAUAUUCUAAGACUAUCUCGUUGAAGAGCUCCAUUUCUCCUCUUCACUAAUUUUGGGGUAAAACAUUCAUGCAAUUAUCAGUGGUUUGAAAUGGUUGAGGUCUCCGGUGAUUCAUUUUAUUGAUCAAGGCUAUUGCUUAAAAUUUGAUCUUUAUGGGAGUUUGCAUGAUUUUCUAAAGAGUCUUUGCAGUACCAAGACUUUCAAAUUUUUGUGUGUAUGUGUGUGUUUAAAAGUUGUGCUUUACUUAUUGCCUCUCUUUCAUCUCCUUAACAUCAAAUAAUUAGGCCUGCCUUCUUUUAUAUCUGUGCCUUAACAAAUCAUAUUGCAACUAAUGUUUCCCUCCCUUCACCUAUCAAAAAGAAAAGGAAAUCUCCCUCCCUUCGCCUGUCAAGGGGAAAGGAAAAAAGAGGACUAAUGUCUCCCUCCCUUCCUCUCUCUUUCUUUCAUUUUCUUUGUUUUUUCCUUUUAUUUUUGGUAAAAUAGGUGGUGACAUUCAAAAUCAUUUUAAUCUGAUGCUAGUAAUUUUUGCAGAUGCCAGGUACAAUAAUGGCAAUGGGACGGCUCAAUCGACCUAGUAUUAUGGUUUAUGGUGGAGCUAUCAAGGUUAGAUAUCCUUGGUUAUUGAAAGUUCUUUAUAUAAGUGGAAGUCUUAUAUUGCAUUUCUAAGUGCUAUGUUUAACUUGCAAAACUUUGUCAUUAGUUUAAUUUCUUAUAAAUUGAUAGAACAGACUGCGGUUAAUUUUUCACAUUAGGAGACUUUCCUUUUCCAAAAGAAAUAUCAUUCUGAGAUAAAAGCUUUGUGUAUGGGGCAGUGAUUUCUCAACUCUAUUUGUUUAUUUAUUGUAUUUAUUUAACUUAAUAUUGAUGACAAAAGGGUUAGGUCAAGGAAGAUAUGGCUUAAGCUUGUAAUUCCUUUCCCUCCUUUCUUUGGCAUGGAUUCUUCUCCAAAAUAUGAUCAAAUUGAUAAUUUAUUGUUACAAAGUGACUUGUUAUAGAUUAAGAACUAUUAUUAUUGUUGACUUGUUAUAGAUUAAGAAUUAUUAUUAUUAUUAACUUGUUAUAGAUUAAGAAUUAUUAUUAGUAUUAUUAUUAUUGUUAUUGUUAUUGUUAUUAGUAUUAUUAUUUUAAGUUUUCUAUAGUUUUUUUUUUUUAACCUACAAAAUAUGGAGGUUAAGAAACAAACUGCAUAUACUAGUUAAAGGUAUAGGACAUUCCUGCCGUUUUGAAAUACAGCAAAUUGAAUAUCUAAGUAAUUAACAGAGCAUUCUUUAUGCAGCUUGCUAUUAAAAUCAUUAUGUGUAAUCUCUGUUUUGCUUCAUAUUUUGUAGAAUUGUGGAAAUAAGGAAUAAAUUUGAUAGAUCUAGAAGUAGAAAAAGUUGUAGUGCAUUUAGGUUCUCUAGCUUACUGGUUGAGUUUAUGAUUGUUAUUAGUUUGUUGAAAGGAUGGAGUCCUGUGGUGACUUCUUGAACAUCAUAUGAAACUUUGAAGUCAAAAUGAUUAUGAGAUUUUGUGGUCAACAUGUAUUUAUCAUAGUUGUGGACAACUCAUUGAAACUUAUCAAUUAUGGGGUAUUCUAAAUUAUUUGAAGAAAUUCCAAAAAUUGAAGUUAGGGAAAUGUUAGUGCACAUCAAAGAGAAUGGAUAAUAGUCUAACUUGCAUUCUAGAAUUAGUUUGAAAAUAAUUUAUGAACAAUUGAUAAAAUCAGAGUGAUUUAUUAUAUACCUUGGGACUUCUUGAGUCAUAGGGAUAAGUUCUAGUUUUCUUUGCUUGGUAAUAGGUUGAAAACAAUUUGGAGUUUUAGGAAUAAUUUAUCAUUUUCUUAUUGAAAAACAAGGAUUGGGUGGCAUGCUUUGUGAUAUUCAUAGUGUCAAAAAGCAUGUUUGUUACCUCCAGGUGUGUGAUACUUUUUUUUAUAACCCAAAACAGGAUUUCCUUAAUGACCCCACCAAGGGCUUGUAAAUCAUUAGGUAUUAGAAUACCCACUGCAGCAUUUUCAAUGCCAACACUCCUCCAUAACUUUAUGAGAUCCACUUCUAACAAAGCCCAAAAAGCCUGAAUAAACCCUAAAGAGAAACCAUCGUAUUUAUUAUUUUAUUAUUAGUAAGAUCCCCCAGAGAAGAGGAUUAUGUCCGAACCGAUUUCCAACUCUAUCGCAUACUACUAUUUAAAAAGGCCGACAAGGAGGAAGCGGGGAUGGCACAAGUGAAUCCGAUGUGGGACUUAUGCCUUUCUUUUCGGAUCAAAGAGAAGAGAAAAUGGCAAGUGCUAUCGAAUUCGAAGCUGUUAGCAUGUUAGCGCAUUUUCCUCCCAUUUUUCCAAUAAAUGGUUCAAAUCAUUUUAUCGACAUGAGUGUCAACUAACUCAGGAACUACGGGAAGACCCGUUCCUACGGAGGGCUGUCUGGUAGGUACCAAAUGUGUACCACCUGUAGGUAAAACUGCGACGCCGGCCCCUUUCGACGUUGCACAAAAGCCAUUACUUUACGUUCAGCUAGCACUAAAAAGGCUACUCCUAGUAGAAGUGGUAGAAUUAUUCCAAGUAUUUCAGCUGGAACAGCAACUGCUAUUGACAUUUUCGAUUUUCUAUUCACUCAUGAUCUGGCCUGGUCGACCCGAUCAUGAUAUUUCAGUUUCAAUCCCAUGCAAUUUUUUAUUUUUUCAUGCUUGGAUAGAUUGGGGUACCAAUCCAAGAUAAGGUGAAGGAGGAUCUUUUUUAAGAUAGUUCAACUCUUGGGGGAGAAUCUCAUCAUUGAAGGGGGGACCCAAUGAUAGUUAUUUCUUGGGCUGACUUUAAGAGUGGAGGCAGAGGUGCAUGUGGUGAUAAUCUGAUGAGGUAGAUUCCAUUGAGAAACUUCUAUUGAUGUGUACUUGAGAUGAAGACCUAGAUUAGCUAAUCAGGAGGUUAAUUGGUUUUCUUGAGUGGGGUUAUUUCCUUGACUAAGUAUAGGGAAUUUACUUCUUCUAUAAGAGUGUACUGGAUUGGGUUGUAUGAUAUUAUUUUUUCUUCUUUGUUUCUCUCUCUCUCUAAUUAUAAAAGAAGAUCUGCAAGUUAAUUUAACAUAAGCUUUAUAUAUUAAUUUGAAAUUGAGAGAAUGUUUUUGAGCUAUUAGUUUUUAAAAGUAUGCUAAUACAUAAAUAUUAACUUUAUGAGAAUUAGCUUCUUUGCUUGGGAAGCAACUUGGGCCAAGAUUUUGACUCUAAAUCAACUCAAAAAGAGGGGUUGGAGGAUUCCUAAUAGAUGUUACUUGUGUAAGGAAGAAGAAGAAACUAGUGACCAUAUUCUCAUCUAUUGUUCGAAAGCUCGUUUGUUGAGGCAAUUGAUCUUUGCACUUUUUGGCAUUCAAUGGUUGUUGAGUUGUUCAGUUAGAGAGGUCCUUCUGAGUUGGGUCCUUUGUGGGUAAAAAGAGGAAGAAGGCUUGGAAAGCUGCUUUGUUGUGUAUGUUUUGGGCUUUAUGGCGGGAGAGAAAUAGGAGGGCUUUUGACAACUUUGAAAGCAUGAAUCAAACAAUUAAAAAUUCUUUUUUGUAUCUAUUUUGGGAUUGGGUUAGAUUGUACAUUAAGGGUGGAUCUUUAUCAUUGUUAGACUUUGUGGAUUGGGUAAGCUCACAAUAGGGUGCGGUAGCAAGUUUUUGUGUUUUCGCGCCUUUUUGUCCUUUUUUCUUCGUAUAUGACUUGUAUACUUUCUUUCUUUUAACAAUUCUUAUUUACCUAUCAAAAAUAAUAAUAAUAAUAAUAAUAAUUAACUUUAUAUUAUUGGAUUUUUUUUUUAUUUUCCUAAAAUUUUCUUUUAUAGAAAUUAGAACGAGUAUUCUAAUAAAUAAAUAUUAACUUUAGAUUGUUGGAAAAAAAAAUUUCCUAAAUUUCUUUUCUAUAUAAAUUAGUACAUUUUUGAAUAUUUCAUUUUUAACAAAAGAUAACAAAUUAAAUAUGUUUUAUAGAAAAGAUCAAUUAAAUUGUGUGCAUAUAAAAAUUAGACAAUAACAAAUAACUUCAUGGUAUACCAAGGAUGAAAAUAUUAGAAACUGACGAAAUAUUGGUGACUAGAUUUUACGGAAAUAUUAGAUGCAAAUAUUGAUAAGACAAAAAUUGAUUAAAACUUAUGGAGAUUAGAAAAACUUUAAGAAAUGAUAAAACAAGUAAUAAUAUAUUUCAAAAGAUUGGGAGAGAGUUUUUGUAAAAGAUUGUUGAUAGGGUAAAGGCAAUAUAUUUCAAAAGUGGAAGGCUCUUGUUGAUUUGAAGCACCUUAUCUAUUUUGUUGUCUACCAUAUAUACUUGUUUUCAAUUCCUAUGAAGGUCAGGUUGAGGCUCAAAAAGAUUCAAAGAGAUUUCCUAUGGAAAGUGAGACAUUGGAGAAAAGGCCACAUUUCAUGAAAUGUACAGUCUUUUGCAUGGAUAAGAACAUGGGGGAACUAGGCAUUAUAAGCUAUUGAUCACUUAAUCAAGCUCUCCUUGUGAGGUGAGAAAUGGGUAUGAGACUAGAUUAUAGAAAACUAUUAGGAAAGGGUGAGACCUCUUUAAUUGUAGGGCACUCUUUGCAGUGGGUAAUGGAAGGAGAGUGAAGUUUUGGAAGGAUAAAUGGAGUGGAAUCCUUUUGUGUAUACUUUUCUUCUUUGUAUGUUUGAGCCUUGUCUAAGGAGGCUUGGGUGGUGGAUUUAUCAAAUAGAUAGGUGCAGGAUGUUUUUGGGAUCUGCAUUUCUUUAAACACUUAAACAAUCGAGAGUUGGGUAUUUUUGAGACUUUUUUCUCAAGAUUGCAAGCUGAGUUGGUGAAGAAGGAUGAAAAUGAUAUGGUCUUUUGGAUGGAUUUGAAGAACACAGUUUUUUCUGUCACAUAUCUCUAUUUUGUUUUGGAGCUAGGGAUAUCAAUUUCCUUCCCAACAGGCAUAAUUUCAAAUUCAUGGGUCCAUUCAAAGCAAGUUUUUUAUCUUUCUUUUUUUUUUUUUUUUUUUUGCUUGGGAAGCCAAUUGUGAAAAGUAUUGAUGUUGAAUAAACUUCAGAGGGAAGGGUGGCCAGUGGUGAAUAGUUGUUUUCUUUGUAGAGACGAGGAGUCAAUUGAUUACAAUCUCUUUUAUUGUGCCAAAUCAAAGGUUUUCUACUGGUUGUUAUUCUCCUUGUUUAGUGUAGUUUAAGUGUUCCUUUUCACUCUCAAAGUAAGUCUUUUAAGUUGUCAUGGUUCUUUUGUGGUGAGAAAAAGUAAGAAGACACAAACAGCUGCUAUUCUAUGCAUUUUUUAAUGAUUUGGAAGGAAAGAAAGAAUAGCAUUUGAAAAUGAGGAGUCUGAUUAAAAGCUGAAAUGUUCAUUCCAAGUAACCUUUUAGCAGGGGUUACAUUGUACAUAAAAAAGGCUCAAUGCCUUUGGCUAAUGGUGUAGAUUGGUUGGGCUUGUGCUGAGGUAGAGAGUUCUUUGUGUUCUCUCUUUCUUGGCAUUGCUGUUUGAUGCCUGUUGUUGUUUUUUUUUUUUUUUUUUUUGAUCAGAAAUGAAGAAAAGUAUAUUAAUAGAGGAAAAGACAUAGGAGAGAAAGAAGAGAUACAAGAGAAAGAGAAGAAACCAAGAGAAGGAUGAGAGGUCCUUCCCACAAAACAAAAACUGAACAAAAGAGAAAACACCCAACUAAAGAAAACUAAAAACACCGAAAAAACCCAACACUCUCAAACUUUUGAAGCGCAAACUGCAAUCCAGUUGAAUUGUAAAGCACUUAGAGGAACUCCUCUAAAAGCUGCAAUACAAGAGGCCCAAAGAGAGGAAAAGAACAUAAUCAAGUCCCAUAACAUCUCUUCCGUUCUCCCCUUAUACUCAAAGAUCCUAUUGUUUCUCUCUUGCCAAACCAUCCAUAACAAAGUAAGGCAAGCCAUUUGCCAAAGUGUCUUGCCUCUUAAUGAGUUCCCCAAGCCUUUAAAAGCAAUAACCAACAUGUCCUCAAUACUCCUUGGAGGAACCCAAGCCAACCCUGCUAGAUUGAACAACUUGUGCCAAAGUCCAAUGGUAACAGGGCAAUGAAGAAAAAGGUGGUCUAUUGAUUCUCCAUUUCCUUUGUAUACUUUGGCAUAUUGCUCUUUGGCCAUAUCUAUAAAUUUUAUUACCUAUCAAAGAAAAAGGAAAAAAGCUGACUUUUUUUGGGGAAUCAUUUAACACUGAUUUUGUUCUGAAUUUGCUAUUGCUUUUUUACAUGUGGUUACUAGUUGUCAAUAACCACUCUAAGAUAUCCUAAAAGGCUUACAAUAGUAUUUCCUUUAUGUGCAUGUUCUCGAUAAAAUUAAUGAACCUGUCCUAUGUGAUUGCCCAGAAAGUGUAGAAAAUUUGGGUAAUUACUUGAAGAAAUAAGUUGAAGGUAGUGGAGAGCUGGAGAGAAUUGUUAUAGCUUGUAGAGGAAUAGGGAUAUAGGGAGAGAAAAAUACUUAGUUUAUCUAGAUUUCAAUGGUCUAGAAUGCUGUAGAAGCCUAUUUUUCAUAGGUGAGAUAGGGCUGACUGUUGUGAACUUACUAAAUCCUGAUUGUUGGGCUUUUAUGAUCUAGUGGUGAAACCCAACAAGGUCUUAAGCUUAGUAUGUUUGAGCUUUUAUAAUCUAUCAUUAGAAAUUGAAAUUUGACUUAAUAGCUUGAUAGUUAAUAUAUUUAAAAUUUAUAAAAAAAACUCUCAUUCUAUUCCACGAUAUGGAGUUUAAAACCUUCAAAGAAAUUUGGAAAGUAGGGAUUUCAAUUUCAAAUUGAUAAAUAAAUACAUACAAAUAGAUAAAAAAAAAAAAAGGAGUUGUUAUUAUUAUUAUUAUUAUCAGCACUAAUACUACUACUAUUCACUAUUAACUAUGAAGUUUUGAGUCUGGUGGGGGCCAUUUCAAAUUUGAGGUUUUAAGUCAAAUAGUUCCCAUUUCAAAAUUUCUCUUCAAAAGCUUUAAAACUUAAGUAUACCACAUUAAAAAGAUAAAAGACUUUGGAGAGGUAUUAAAUAAUUCUACUGUUGACUUGAUGUCAGGUUUUUGUUGCUAACUGUUGGACAAUAAAAGUUUGAACAUUACAAGCAUAACUAUGGAACUUGUUAAGUUAGAUCUUAAUUUGAUUGUGUUGGGUCAUAAAAAACUCAACUAUUACUAGCAGUUUGAGCCUUAAAGAGCCCAUAAUGGCUAGUUCAGAUUCACCUGUAAAAAUGGGUUUUGCAACAUUCUAUGCCGCCUAAAAAUUCAAUAAACCAGGUUUAUUCUCUCCCAAAACUUCUAUUCUUGUUUUCUUCCUUUCAGUUGUUCAGUUUAUUUUUCCCUAGUCUGAUCUGUAAUAUUUUGGGCAAUUAGAUCCAAUAUUGGUUUAAUCUGUUUUCUAGUGUAUGCGCAUGCGGAGGAGGGUGCUACUUUAUGCUUAUUGAAGUUGAUCUUGGAGUAGUUAUGGUCUAUUGCUAUCCAUAGGUAGGUAGGGAAGCAUUAGUAAGUUAGGAUAUUGUCGUUGUCACGAGUCUCUCCAAAAGAGAAUUACUUUUCUUUAUUAACAUAUAUAUAUCUCAAUUUAUGAGUAGUUAAUUUUAUCUUUCCUACCAUAUAUGUCCAAACAAUUUAAUUUGAUAUAUCUUAUCCCUGAAAUCAAAUAUCAAUUUUUAUUUUUGAUAGACAAAAGCUUGUAUUAAGAGACACCAAAAAAAGGGGGCACACCCAAUGUAUAUAGAUAGGAAAUCAAAUAUCAAAAUAAUGAUGCAAAUAAUCAUUUCCCUAAAUAAUUGUACUUCAGAAAAUGAUUUUGCUUCCAAUUUUUUUUUUUUCACUUCCAAAUUGCUUUCUAAAACUCAUACUAAAUUAAUUAUUAUAUGCUAUUAAUAGUUUGAUCAGUCUCAUCAUUAAUUACAACCGAAUUACGUCAAACUGUUCUCAAGUUAAAAUAGGUUAGUUCUGUAAAAUUGUUGAUUCCAAUUAACUUAAUUGCUGAAAAUUGUGAAGCUAGAGGCAGAUUGACAAUUAUAAUUGGGAUCCCAAUCAUACCAUCCUGUGUAGUGUGGCACACCCCUUUUUGUACUAACAAAAAGGGAUGGGCUUGAAGAUGAAUGUGUUGAAAAUGUGGCACACCACUUUAUACUGAGAUAUGAAAUGUUGUAUGAAGUCAUCUUUGAGAAAUGGCAUGAUGUAAGAAAUGAUACUAAUUCCAGUCUUUCUCUAUUAUAAACUGUGUAAUGAACUAAUGAUUGAUUUUUAAUGCUUUCAUAAUUGAAGUUGGAUGCUUUAUUUUUUUGGUUGUUAUCAUUCAUUUACCUUUAUAUUUAUCAACAAAAUAGUGGCAUUUAUAGCUGCCGGUGAUUCAUUCUUUUUAAUUAUUUCAUAUGCAGCCUGGUCAUUUUCAAGGCCAUACUUACGACAUAAUAUCUGCCUUUCAGGUACACAGUGAUUUUCUGUUUUAAGCUUUAAUAUAUGCACAUAUUCUUUUGGCUUCUGACUCCUGGUUUUAGGGUUUGGUUCCUCCUUGUAACUUUUUCUUCUAUUACUUUGCUUCCCUUUUUUGUUCUCCAGAGGUUUUUUUACUUUUUUAUGCUUAUACAGGACUGAUGAAUAAAAUAACUUCCUUCUAUCAUCAAAUAGAUAUUUUGCUAUGCCUUGCUUUCUGAUUCUUGGGGUAUUUGGGACCAUAAAUGUAGUUAUAGGAAGGCUAAUUGAUUUACCAACUUCAGCACUUCAGGGACUAAUUAUUUUUUGGAGGUUAGGCCUUAACUUUGAUAGUUCUUAUUUUACUACUGAUUUUUUUUUUUUCUUUUGGAUAGGCAGAAAGAGAAUAUAUAUAUAUAUAUAUAUAUAUAUGUAUGUAUAGAUAGAUAGAUAGAUAGAUAGAUAGAUAGAUAGAUAGAUAGAUAGAUAGAUUUCCUAUCAAAAAAAUGUAUAGAUAGAAGAUAGAUAGAUAGAUAAAGCAUCUAAACAAAGUGUGUAAUGAAGUACAAAAAAACGUAAAAACAUGGACUAAGGUUUGAAUGUCUUGUUGUUCUGGUAAUGGGUGCUGCUUAUGCAUACUGAAAAGUCUGCAGUUCGUGGAAAUAACUGGUGAGAGAGUGAGAGCUUGGAGAGAAGCUAGUGGCCCCAGGGGAGGAAGAAGCUGUUUUGUGGUGGAGUCCAAAUCUUUCGAGAUUCUGGUUGAGGAGUUGGGAGGAAAGUUGAAAGGGUGCAUAUGGGAGAGAUGCAAAGGUAUCUCCUCUUGGAUUAGAUUCGGGGAGGCGAGCUUACGGUGCUUACUAGAUGGAGUAGAAACUUGCUGCAGAGAGUCUAAUAAUCGAGGAUGGGCCAUUGGCUGGGAGGAGGGGAACAGGAAGUAUAAGUUGGAGCGUCGGUUGAAUGAGGCAGGGAGAUUCAUCCUCUGCUCAGUGCGCGACUCUGAAUCAAAAAAGUUCAGUUUAAUCUUUCCAGAGGGGAAGGGACAGUCCCUUGGUUGGAAUUUAUUGGCCGUGAGGUUGAGAGAUCUUGGCGUGGCCCCAUCAAGUGUCUUUCUGGCUCCCAAAGGACCAGAGGACUUGACGAGGGAGAAAGGAGGAUCGAAGGUUUAGUGGCGGGAGAAAGGGGUGGAGCUGAAACCCUAUGCAAAUGCUGUUAAGAUAAGUUCGAGAAGGGUAGGAUAGUCUGUCUGGUUAGAGGUGGGGGAAAGAGAGGUGCGAGAAAGGAUUGAUCAGUUGAGACAGUGUUUGGUAGGUUGGUGGGGUCUCAACUCAGCUCCCGUUCCUGAGUUGGAGUAUGUUAGGAGAUGGGCGUCGCAGCAUUGGGCUCUGAAGGGGAAUCUAAGGGUUGCUAUGUUAGGCAGAGGCUUCUUGUUGUUUGAGUUCGAAUCUUCAAGGGAGGCUGAACGUGUUUUAGCUAGAGGUGUAAGAAACAUUAAGGAGAAUGUUAUUGUUUUGAAUAGAUGGAACCCUGAGGUGGGGUGUCUCUGUAAGGAUUCAAGCGCUAAAGAAGUCUAGGUAAGGGUGGUUGGGCUCCCCCUUCAUUUGUGGAGCACGGAGAUUUUUAAAAGAAUAGGGGAUGGGUGUGGAGGAUUUGUAGCUAUAGAUGAUAACUCGUUGUCUUCGUCUGAGAUGCAGUGGGCUCGGAUCCUUGUGAAGUGCGUGGAAAGGGAGUUUCCCAGCUCUGUCCAAAUCAUUGUGGGGUCGGGAUGUUAUUCCUUGCAACUUUGGUGGGAGCUUCCUCCUUGGUUCACGCAGGUGGUGUCGGCGGGAAGUCUCAGCGGGGAGGGUGGCUUAAGGGGUGGAGAAGAAGAUGGUGGAAGUCAAAGGGAGAAGGUGGAGCAGUGGAGAGUACAGUAGGGUAGGCUUGACGUGUCGUCCAUUGGAGGAGUUCCUCCCUCCCCUCCUGUUGUGAUCUCUGAUGCAGGUACUACAGUGGAGGGCAGGGUAGGUUUGGCUGAUGGACGUGUGAAAGGGGACAAGCAGCCUACUUGUAAUACGUUGGAUGGCUCUGUUUUUGGGCCAAAUUCUGGGCCUAACGGAUCUGUCAUUAGGGUGUUUCAGGGCCCUUCCUUUGAAAGAGGGGAGAGCCAGGGCCCUCUUAAUGUUUCUCUAAAGAGUGUGGGCCACAAAUCCAGGCCCAUUAACUCUCUUGAUGAGCUGGGCUGCAGAGAAGGGGAGAAGGGCGCGGGCUUUGGGCUCGAAGGCCUCGUAGCAGUGGCUGGAGAGGCUUUAACUGGGGAAGGACCUUUGGCUUCUUGUCCUAGGGCAAUUUCGACAAGCUUGGAGGUAGAAGCGAUUGGAGUCGCCGACCCCCUUGACCCAGGGGAAGUUCCUUCAGCCUCUCGUCCUAGGGCUCAAGCGAUAAGUUUGGCGAGAGGCGCUUCUGGUGACGUUGACCCUUUUGUCGGCAUGUCAAGAGCUCCGAAGCCGCUGGAAGUCUCUGAGGUGGUAAGAGGGGAGAUGACCGACGAAGCGUUGCGUGUCGAAGCCUCCAGGUAUGUCUACAUUUCUUCGUUUUCUGUGGGGGGUCGGGUGCUCUCUUCUUCUUCUCUUUCUUCUGGGUUUGCACGGGCUGGAGCGAAGGAGGCAGCCUUGUCUGGUUUGAUCUCGGUGACUGAGGGAGAGGAGCGGCUUCCUUUGAGCAUUAUUCUGACAGAUGGCAGCACUGGGGAAAUGGAUACCGAGGGGGAGAAAUCCUUGGGUGGUGAUGGAGGGGGGGNNNNNNNNNNNNNNNNNNNNNNNNNNNNNNNNNNNNNNNNNNNNNNNNNNNNNNNNNNNNNNNNNNNNNNNNNNNNNNNNNNNNNNNNNNNNNNNNNNNNGGGGGGGGGGGGGGGGUGAGGUUGAGGUUUUGUUACAAGAUUUGGAAGAAAAAGGAGGUCGGUGGGACGAUAGUUGUUUGGCGAGAUUCAGUAGGUUCCUGGGUUUUUCGACGGAUGGUAUUGAAGGUGAAAUAUUGAAUCUGCUCCUAAGGACUAAGAGAAGAAGGGAGCAGAACAUCAAGAAAGAGAUUUCAGGAUCCACUAAGUUUGAUCGUGAGUUGAAAAAAUUGGAGUGGUCUGUUAAUUAUAAUGGUGCGAAGAAGAAGAAAUCUUUGGUCAGAGUUGGCGGGGUUAGAACUUCGAUUCUUAGAUGAAGAUAAAGAUACUAUCAUUGAAUGUUAGAGGGGCCAAUGAUAGGGCCAAAAGGAAGGUUAUUAAGGCUUUGAUCAGAUCGCAAAGAGCGGAUUUGGUGUGUUUGCAAGAGACCAAAAUUCAAGAUAUGUCUAAGGAGAUUGUCCACAGUCUUGGAGUGGGAAGAUUUUUAGGCUGGGGUGCUAUGAGUGCUAGGGGGGCUGCUGGUGGGGUUGUAGUGUUUUGGGACAAGAGAGUCUUGGAGUUAGUAGGCAUGGAGGCGGGACUCUUCUCAAUUUCGUGCCGUUUCAAAAACUGCGAGGAUGGCUUCUUGUGGACCUUUAUGGGAGUGUAUGGACCCACCUUGAAACGUAAUAGGGAGCUGUUUUGGGAAGAAUUAGGUGCCAUUCGAGGGUUAUGGUCGGACCCUUGGUGUAUUGGUGGGGAUUUCAAUGUGGUCAAAUUUCCCAGUGAGCGUAGUAGAGAAGGCAGAAUCACUGGAUCCAUGAGAAGAUUUUCGGAGGUGAUUGAGGAGUUGGCCUUGAGAGAUUUGCCUCUCCAUGGGGGGCCGUUCACGUGGACUGGAGGGCUGAAUGGUCUCUCCAGGUCUAGGUUGGAUCGUUUUCUAAUUUCGGAGGAGUGGGAAAUCACUUCAGUGGGGUAUUCCAGUGUUCUCUUCCAAGACCGGUGUCUGAUCACUUUCCCAUUUUGUUAGAUGGGGGAGGAGUGAGGAGAGGUCCAACUCUGUUUCGAUUUGAGAAUAUGUGGUUAAAGGAGGACGGGUUUAAGGAUUUGUUAAAAGGCUGGUGGCAAGGUUUUAAUUAUAGUGGGUCCUAUAGUUUUAUCCUGACAGAAAAAUUAAAGGCUUUAAAAAUUAAGUUGAAGGAGUGGAAUUCGGAAGUUUUCGGCAAAGUUGGAGUGAACAAGAGGCUGGCUUUGGACAAGGUGUCUUAUUGGGAUAAUCAGGAGCAGCUAAGAGUUUUAAAUGACUGGAAGUUAGAAGCGAGAAAGGAGGCUAAGGAGGAUUUCAAGAAAUGGGUGCUUAUGGAGGAGAUUUCGUGGAGACAAAAAUCAAGACAGAUUUGGCUGAAGGAAGGUGACAAGAACACGAGAUUUUUUCACAAGAUGGCAAAUUCCAACAGAAAGAAGAAUUGCCUAAAAAAAAUUAAAGUCAAUGGCACUUGGCUGUCAGAAGAGCAGGAUAUUCAAAGGAGAGUGGUGAGGGCCUUUUAGUUUCUUUUAUCGGAUCCAGGUGGUUGGCGCCCUAGUGUGAACAAUCUUGAGUUUGAUAGCAUUGGGGCAGAGGAGGCAGCUAGGCUGGAGCUAAUGUUCACUGUGGAGGAGGUUUUCCUGGCUCUUUCAGAGUUGAAUGGGGACAAAGCCCCUGGCCCGGAUGGGUUUACCCUAGCUUUUUGGCACUUUUGCUAGGACUUCGUCAAAGACGAGAUUAUGGGAUUUUUCAAAGAUUUCUUUGAGAGGGGAAAGUUUGUCCGAAGUGUGAACACCACCUUCCUUGUCUUAAUCCCAAAAAAGGGAGGGGCUGAAGACUUGACCGAUUUUAGACCCAUCAGCUUGGUGGGAAGCCUCUACAAGUUGCUUGUAAAGGUCUUAGCCAAUAGAUUGAAAAAGGUUGUGGGAAAAGUGGUGUCUACUACCCAAAAUGCAUUUGUUGAAGGUAGGCAGAUUCUUGAUGCAGCGUUAAUAGCCAAUGAGGUCAUAGACUCCUUGCUGAAAAGGAAGGAAAGUGGGGUUCUAUGUAAAUUGGAUUUAGAGAAGGCCUACGAUUGUAUCAAUUGAGAUUUUUUGCUGUCAGUGAUGCAAAAAAUGGGCUUUGGGGAGAAAUGGGCUGGGUGGAUCAAAUGGUGUUUAUCCACUGCGUCGUUUUCUGUUCUGAUCAACGACUCUCCAAUCGGUUUUUUUCGAAGCACUAGGGGGUUAAGGCAAGGGGACCCCCUAUCCCCUUACCUUUUUGUUUUAGGAAUGGAGGCUUUGACUAGCCUCAUUAAUAAGGUAGUGAGAGGGGGUUAUCUUUCAAGCUACAGGAUAAGGGGAAGGGAAGGAGCAGGAAUUCAAGUUUCACACCUGCUGUUCGCUGAUGAUACACUGGUCUUCUGCGAGGAUUCCCAAGAGCAAUUGGCUUUUUUAAGUUGGUUACUCUUGUGGUUUGAAGCCACCUCUGGAUUGCGCAUUAAUAUGAACAAAAGUGAAAUUUUGCUAGUGGGUAGAGUGGAGAACGCUGAAUUACUAGCUGCUGAACUGGGCUGCAAUGUGGGAUCUCUCCCUUCUACCUAUUUGGGGCUCCCUUUGGGUGCUUCGCAUAAGUCGGUGACGGUUUGGGACGGAAUGGAAGAGAGGAUGCGCAAGAGACUUGCCUUAUGGAAGAGGCAAUUCAUUUCCAAGGGUGGAAGAAUCACUCUCAUUCGGAGCACUUUGGCGAGUAUGCCAACCUACCUCAUGUCCUUAAUGCGUAUGCCAAGAGUGGUAAAAUUAAGACUUGAGAAAAUUCAAAGAGAUUUCCUUUGGGGAGGGGGAGUGUUGGAGAAGAAGCCCCACCUAAUAAAAUGGGGUAUUGUUUGUUCUCAUAAAAAGAAGGGUGGGUUGGGGAUUAGAGACCUCACUACUCUCAAUAGGGCCCUUUUGUGCAAAUGGAGUUGGCAGUUUGCGGUUGAAAGGGAUUCCUAUUGGAAGCUUAUAAUUGGCACGAAGUUUGGGGUUGUUAGAGGAGGUUGGAGCACUUGCGGGGGUAGGGAGGGCUUUGGGGUGGGGCUCUGGAAAGAAAUCAGCAAGGAAGGGUUGUUGUUGCUCAACAAUGUUUCUUUUUCAGUGGGGGAUGGUAAAAGGGUGAGGUUUUGGAAAGAUACUUGGUGCGGGAACACUCCUCUUUGUGAGGCCUACCCCUCCUUGUUUGAUUUAGCGGUUUCUAAAGACGCGAGGGUUGCGGACUGUUGGGACUCAAUGGGGGAAGUGGGAGGGUGGAAUCCCCGCUUCCUUAGACCUUUCAAUGAUUGGGAGGUGGAGGAGGUGGAGAGACUCCUUCUGAUCAUUCAAGGAAAGAGGCUGAAUGCUGAUUUGGAGGAUAGGAUGGUGUGGAAUGAGACGAAAGAUGGGAUUUUCUCUGUAAAAUCCUGUUUCAAUUCUCUUGACCACAGCAGUGCAGUCCCGUUUCCAUGGAGAAUUAUUUGGAGUACGUUUGUUCCUACCAAGGUGGGCUUUUUUGCUUGAGAAGCUUCUUGGGGGAAGGUGCUCACUCAAGACCAACUAAAGAGGAGGGGCUAGAAUUUAGCUAACAGGUGCCCCUUGUGUUGUGAUGAAGAAGAGACGAUAAAUCACAUCCUUAUUCACUGUUCUAAGGCGAAGGUUUUGUGGGAUCUCUUGUUCUCCUUAUUUGGUGUUAAUUGGGUCCUCCCAUUUUCGGUUAGAGACACUCUUUUAGGUUGGCAUGCUCCCUUAAAGGAUAAGAAGCAUAGUAAGGUUUGGCGGGCAGCUCCUCUUUGCUCAUUUUGGAUGGUAUGGAAGGAAAGAAAUAGGAUAGUUUUUGAAAAUGAGGUCCUAUCACUUCAAAGAUUGAAAAAUUCCUUCAUUUGUAAUCUCUUAUCUUGGGCUAAUUCUUCCACAGUUGAAGGCCCCCUUUCUUUGUUUAAUUUUGUGGACUGGUUGGGUUCUUGUUGAGGACUGGUAAGGGUUUGUCCUUUUUGUUUCCGGUUUUUGUAGGUGAUACUUGUAUACUCCCUGUAUACUCUGGGUCGCCUUUCAUGCCCCCUUUUUAAUAUAUUUCUGUGCGUUUAUCUAUCAAAAAAAAAAAAAAAGUACAAAAAAACCCUCUGCUCUUACUUUAAGCAUCCAAUCUACAAAGCCUCCUGAUGAGAAAGGACCAUAGGCUGAGGUGGAAAAACCAUCAAAACUUAGAUGAGCUUUCUCAACUAAUGUAAUGAGCAAGUGGCAGUGGAUACUACCUGAUCGACUGCUCCCUUAUGAUUAUCCAGGUGAAAAUGUUGCCAAUGAAGUUUGAAGCAUGUUUCCCUGGUAUAGCAAGUCUUGCCACAAUAUUCUAAGUCAUCUCACUUUUGCCUCAUGAUAGAGAAAUAAAGACCAAAAAACUUAUCGUCUUGAGUAGUCUCAUGAAUUUUUUUUCAUCAAUUGAAAAGAAUUCAUGUGAUAAGAGAUUUAUCAUUAAUGGAGGUUGCAUUAGUUAAAGUAACCAUGAUAUGACAGUCAAGUUCUCAUCGUCUCACCUACCAUAAAUUGUUAGGAAUAGGUUCCUUCACCAUUCAAGUAACCGAUCUUCCCUUUACACCUAACUAACCAAAAGACUGAUUGUUUUGCAAUAAGAAAGUAAUUUUUGUCAAACUUCAUGGUUAUAAUUUGCAAGGUGGAUUUUCAAGAUGUUCACACAAAGCAAAUGAGGAAUCUGAGAUUGUUUGGAACUUAGUAGAGAUUCCAAAAGACUGCAUCACAGUCAGUCUGACUAUAUUGUUGGCUUAUAACCUCAUAACUUAGGGUUUUGGGUCAACUUAGUACCUUAAUUGUUAGAUGAGAUUAUCUAGCAAAAAACAGCUAUCAACAGCCAACAAGCCCCAAGCAGUAGAUUGCACUAUGAAAACCAAAGAAUGACCUUGGCUCGAACCUUGAAGAAGAGUGGAUUCACAACAAAUCGCCAAUGAAUGAAAGCAAUUGGUUUCCUUGUUUGACCAACCAUAUAGUAGGGUCAGUUGCCUAAAUGAGGUGCUCCACUUUUAUGGGCUUAUAUGGGACUUCUUGCCUUGUUGAAUUGCAACUUUUUAUUCCUUUUAAUGUUGUUAGUAGUUUGCUUUCCUUCUUAGUACUGGUUUUGUACUUUUCUUUUUAAGGCUUGUUUUAUCCUUCUUGUACCUUUAAUAUAUUUUUGAUGAUUUUUUUUAUAGGAAAUGAAAAUAUAUUAAAAGCUCCAAAUAAAAUGCACAACCAAGUACACAGGUAGUAUACAAAAUGUUCUAAGAGGCAAAGCAAAAAAAUGUGAAGGAAUCCAAAAACUGUAGCUCUCUCAAGAAAACCCCAACCAAUCGAUAAAACCUAUCAUGUUUAGGGGAACCCCAUCUAUAUAUAUAUUGUAGUCCAUAACAUGAGGUUGCCAAGAAAGGAGGACUUCAUAUAUUUUCAAUGAAUUGUUUUUACUAGAGGUCCAAAUGGCCCAAACUGCACCCCUCUAUGGUGACUAGAAGUAGAAAAAACCUCCGAAAGGACCCAUAUAGAUCAGCCCUACUUUCUCAAAAACAAAGAGCCCCAAAAAAAUGACUUCUACAAACUCUUUCAAAAGAGUUUUCAUUUGAGAUUUUUCCUCCCGGCUCCCUGGUUUUCUUUGAAAAGUAAGCAAAUGAAAGAUUAAAAUCAUUCUAUAUAGGUGCCUAAAGAAUGAGCAUACUUUUUGUUCAUCUUCAUGGAUUCCUAUUUUUUUCUUUAAUACAAAUUAGUUUAGUUUUGUGUAUCAAAAUUUUAUUUGAUCUAUAAAAUUUAUUUUAUGUUUUGUUUUGUUUAAAACAUGUCAUGCAGAACAGUUGCAAAAAUUUAUAUCAAAGUCAAGUUUCAAGCUGUAACAUGUCAGCAAUCUAAUCUUAACUUAAUGCUGCAAAUUAUCCUGGAAAUCUUUUAUCUGUCACCAUUUUUGACUGGUGAAUCUUGAUUAUUUAUUUUAUGUUUUGUUUUGUUUAAAACAUGUCAUGCAUAACAGUUGCAAAAGUUAUAUCGCAGUCAAGUUUCAAGCUGUAACAUGUCAGCAAUCUAAUCUUAACUUAAUGCUGCAAAUUAUCCUGGAAAUCUUUUAUCUGUCACCAUUUUUGACUGGUGAAUCUUGAUUAUUUAUUUUAUGUUUUGUUUUGUUUAAAACAUGUCAUGCAUAACAGUUGCAAAAAUUUAUAUCAAAGUCAAGUUUCAAGCUGUAACAUGUCAGCAAUCUAAUCUUAACUUAAUGCUGCAAAUUAUCUUGGAAAGUUUUUAUCUGUCACCAUUUUUGACCGGUGAAUCUUGAUGGAAAAAUCUAUGAUGGAUGUUUAUGAGAUAUUGAUGUAGCUAUGGUCUGAAGGAGGUGUAUGUGUAGUAUCACUUGUUCCAUGGUGAAACAGAUUUGUUAUUCUUGAAGAGUUUUCAUUGUGCAUUACUGUAUAAGCAGCAUGCUUUUGGUAAACAUUUUGUGGAUCUUGAUUGAUUUGUUUUUGGUAUUGCUGAUUUUAAAAGUAAUUCAAGGCCUUCUUUAUUAAAAUUUUCAGUAUUACCUACUGUGUUGGGAAAUAUUUAUUUAUGUUAAGUAGUAUUUGUUUAAAAAGUUCUAUUUAGAUGUGGCAAACUUGCUAUUUUGAUUUCUUAUUUGACAAGACAUGUAUACCUGCAAUCUGCCAAAUUAAAUUAAUAUUUUGUUUCCUUAUAAUUGUUGUUGUAGGUUUAUGGAGAGUUCGUCAGUGGGUCCAUAACUGAUGAACAGAGGAUGAAUGUUGUCCGAAAUUCAUGCCCAGGAGCAGGAGCUUGUGGUGGAAUGUAUACAGCCAAUACGAUGGCUUCUGCUAUUGAAGUUAUGGGAAUGUCUCUUCCCUUCAGGUAAAAAUGUUCUUUAUUUUCACUUAGACCAUAGUUUUUGGUGCCACUUCUUACUUUUUACCUUUUUAUUGUUUUUAAUUUGUAAAAGCUCUUCAACACCGGCUGAAGACCCAUUGAAGUUGCAUGAGUGCCAUUUGGCUGGAAAAUAUCUUCUGGAUUUGAUAAAAAUGGACUUAAAACCACGAGAUAUUAUCACUAUGAAGUCACUACGGAAUGCUAUGGUUGUUGUCAUGGCAUUGGGUGGAUCUACCAAUGCUGUAUUACAUUUAAUUGCCAUUGCAAGGUAAGAGUGUGGUGAGAAAGUUCCCCUGGGUAUGAUUUGCAUCGCUCAGAAUUGCUCAUGAUAAGAUUCUUGGCAGGUCUGUUGGUCUGCAGUUAACUCUUGAUGAUUUUCAGAAAGUAAGUGAUGAGGUUCCAUUCCUUGCUGAUCUUAAGCCCAGUGGCAAAUACGUCAUGGAGGACAUACACAAGGUUUCAAUGAUUUCUUUUGUUUCCCUUUUUGUUUCUCUUUGUUUUCCUUCUUUCUUAAAUUAAAUAUGUUGUCCCAGCCUGUUUCUGAGUUCUAUAUAACAUCUCGCAUGGCAUUGUUUGAGGCAUGACAAUCUUUUUCUGUUUGCUCAUACAUGACAUGAGAGGUUUAUCAAGCUCAACCUGUCUUCUUGAUGAACUCAUAAAUUGUUCCUAUAAUAAUAGAUUGGAGGAACACCGGCAAUCAUUCGCUUCCUUUUGGAAAAUGGGUUUUUAGAUGGGGAUUGUAUAACAGGUAUGUUGAUUUUAAGAACAAUUUUCACAUUCCUGUUAGUCAAUACCAAAACAAAAUAUUGGAGGCAGGUUAUAUUAUCUCGUGGCAUUACUUUAUUGACAUACUAAUAUUUUCUUUCUAGUUACUGGGAAGACAUUGGCUGAAAAUGCAGAACUUUUUCCUUCUUUGCCCAGAGAUCAGGUGAAAUGCACAUUUCACUGUUUAGAUAUAAAAUGAACAUACGCAUGUUUCUCAUUGUUUACUGUCUUUUUUCUUCUAGCAAAUAAUAAGACCGUUGGCAAACCCCAUAAAGAAGACUGGACACCUCCAAACUUUAUAUGGAAAUCUUGCACCAGAGGGUUCUGUUGCAAAAAUUACUGGAAAAGAAGGGCUAUAUUUCUCUGGUUCUGUUCUAUGUGCUAUUUUGUGUUAUUAUAAUUUCCUGAAUCAUACUGGAAGUUGCUCGACUCCUUGUAGUUUUAUAGCUUAAAAUUUUAUGCACUGUAACAAAGAGAUGAUUGUUCAAAGACUUGUUCACCAGGUCCUGCACUUGUCUUUGAAGGUGAGGAAGCUAUGAUUGCAGCUAUAGCAGAGAAUCCUAUGAGCUUUAAGGUAUGUGUACUGGUCAAUGUGGCGUUUUUAGAACUAAUCGUUUGAAAAAUGGGAGUCUGGCUCCAGAGUUUUAAGGGUCUCCAAGUUAUUAACAUCAACUGCAGAUAAGAAAUCAAAUGAGGACUGGCUUCCUAAUUUGGAAAUGUUUUUAAAUAGAGGCAUGUCCUUGCCUUAGAUCUUGUUCAUUCUUGUAUGUUGCAAUGUCUUAAAAAGCAGCACAGAUUUUGUCUCUGUUAUGGGGUGUCUAUGAUUUUUAGAUUAUUUGGUACAGAAACUAACAGCCCCCUUUAUAUUUCUGGUCUAGAACUCUCAGGAUUGUUUUCUUCUAAACAAGGAGUCAACAAUAAUUGAAGAAUGAUAUAUUCAAUUUAUUAUAAUUAAGAAUUGAUAGCUCAGAAAUGACCUGUUGUUUGCAAAUAUGAGUAGAAGCUUGGAUCAUGGUUUCUUAUAUGUCAAAUGUGUAGCUUAUCCAACUUGAUCUCUUGCAUAAAAAAAGCCUACAAAUAUUUUGUAUUUGGCGUUUAUUAGACAAUUUUGUACUGGGCUUAUUUUUUAGAGGUUUUUAUUUGGUGCAAAAGACUAAACUGUGGCUGUUCUGCGUCAAACUUCUGUAUUUAAAGUCAACUUUACUAAGGUUAAGCCUGACCCUCAAGAUCUCUUCAUUUCAUUUGAUGAUUUUGGUUUAAGGCCACAUUUUCAUUUGUUUCUUUUUUUUUUACGUAUUAAUUUUAAAUUUUCCCUGGAUAUAAUAGAUGCUUUCUCUUGUAGUGCUUAACUAAAAAUGGCUUUGCCAAGCUUCCUUAAACCAAUUUUCCUUGUCACAGAUGUCAUGUCUCACCAACAGAUGUGCUAAUUGCUGCUCAGUUUCAAGUGAUAUUGUUUGAGUGUAUGAUAAUACAUUGUGUGCCUAAAUCCUACAAGCUUAAGUUUUCAAGAAAAUUAAUAAUUUAAUAUGUUAGUCUAGGUCAUGGGUUUGAGUUGCAGGAGCUACAUGUUUCAGGAUGGAUUGUUAUAUAUGCAACAGUGCUGCUCCCGAGGAAAAUGAUAGUUGAAAAAUGACCUUGGGGUGAUUGUGUAAAGGCCAAAGAUGAUUAGGCACUGCUAUAAGCCUCGGGAUGAGUUAAGGCUCUGAGAUGGGUAUGCUGUGUGGGAUGGUCAAGCCCCUCACUGUGAGCCUCUGAAUGGCUAAACCCUAGGAGUGAGACAUUGAACCAUAUAAAAAGGAUUUGCUUGACCUUACUGAUAGCCAAUCGGUUUUCAGAUGAGAUGACUAAGUCCUUGAUCUUGAUAUGUUUUCAAAGGAGAUGGCUAAGUCUUCCUAAUAAGUGGUAUCAAAACUAGGUCAUGGGUUCAAGUUGCAGGAGGUGUACAUGAGGGAUGGUGUUGGAGAGUAUGACAUACAUUAUGCGCUAAAAUCUUACAAGCUUAAGUUUUUAAGAAAAUUGGUUAUCUAACAUGGUAUCAAAGCCUCUUUUGACAGGAGGGCAUGUAUUUGAACCUCACCACAUAUUUAUUUACUCACUUUAUAAAGCCUAAAAGAGUUUAUUUUAUUUCCUCAAUUUACUAAGUACAUGUGUAAGCCCAAAGGAGGCUACAUGUGAGGGAGGGUGCUAGAGUGGAUGAUAUAAAUUGUGAACCCAAAUGAUGUAAGUUUAAGCUUUUAGGAAAAUUAAUGAUUCAAUAGAUAUACAACAAUAAAACGCUUUGAUUCUUUCUGUCAAGUUCUCAUGAUUCCAGUAGUUCAUAGUGCCAUUUCCAUGCACUCACUUGAGGGACUCCAUUUCCAAAAAUCUAAUUUUCUAUAUUCAGAAAGUUCAAGUCCUUUUGCCUAUCUCAGUCCCAGAGAUUUCUCCCUGGAUUAUGCCAUCAUUAAAUUGUAGAUGUUGCUAUGGAUUUCAGUAACUAGGGUUAUUUGUGGACUCAAUGGAAAAGUCAUAUUUUUUCUAUUUUAUGUGUCUCACUGAUAGGAUGGUGUAUAAUUGAUUCAUCAAAAUGGGAUAUCUAAUUUUUUGCUUUUCUGUUAUACUUUCAGGGGAAAGUAGUUAUUAUUAGAGGAGAGGGACCCAAGGGGGGGCCAGGAAUGCCUGAAAUGUUGACUCCAACAAGCGCAAUAAUGGGAGCAGGUCUUGGGAAGGUAUAGAUCAUCAAUUGUAAGACACAUUCCUAAUGAAUAACUUUUUCUUGUGAUCAUAUGGAAGUGGUUGCUUAGUUGCUUGACUUUUUUUCUCCUUGAACAAUUUUAUUGGUAAGAGUUUUGAUGUUGGUACUUGGUAUGUUCUCUUAGACAUAUUUUAUGAACCUGCUUAACACUGAGUACCUUUGUUUCAUUUGAUGUAAUGUUACUUAUGGAAUUUUAUUCCUUAUGUGGCAGGAUGUUGCUUUGUUGACUGAUGGUAGGUUUUCAGGAGGUUCACAUGGAUAUGUUGUUGGCCACAUAUGUCCUGAAGCACAUGUACAUUUUCUUUUCCUUCAUCCAGUUUUAUUUUUUUAUUUUUUUGAUCAGAAACGAAGAAGAUUAUAUUAAUAAAAGAACAAAUACAGAAGAGAAAAAAGAGACAAAAGAAAGAGAAAAAAAAAACCAAGGGAAGGAUGAGAGGUCCUUCCUACACAAUAACCAAGGAGAACACCCAACAAUAGUAAUCUAAAAACAAGAGAAAACCCAACAAACUUCAAACUCUUUAAACGCAAACCCCAAUCCAAUUGAUUUGUAGGAUGCUUAGAGGAACUCCUCUAAAAGCUUCAGUACAAGAAGCCCAUAGAGAAGAGUAAAACCAAAUCAAAUCCCACACCACCUCUUCCGUUCUCCCUUUAUCCUCAAAGAUUCUAUUAUUCCUUUCUUGCCACACCAUCCAAAUCAAAGUAAGGCAAGCAAUUUGCCAAAGAAUCUUGCCUCUUACUGAGUUCCCCAAGCCUCUAAAGGAAAUAACCAACAUAUCCUCAAUGCUCCUUGGAGGGACCCAAAUCACACCUACUAGAUUGAACAACCUGUGCCAAAGUCCAAUGGUGACGGGACAAUGAAGAAAAAGAUGAUCAAUCGACUCUCCAUUUCUUUUGCAAAGAAUGCACCAUUGAAGACAGAGGGCUUUGUAGGGUCUUCUCAAUUGCAACUUGUCAUUAGUGUUUACCUUCCCAUGUGCUACUAACCAAGCGAGGGCCUUAACCUUUGAAGGGACUUUUGAGCUCCAUAAAAACUUGGCCGGAAGGAACAUUAAAGGAUUUGAAUCUUUUCAAUUCAUCCAGUUUUAUUUUCACUCUUUGAUUGCAAUUCUUUAUUGUUACAAGAGUAAAACUUUUGUUCACUUUGGCUGUGACAUACACUAACUUGGGAUUCUUUACCAAUAAAACAAUUUAGGUAUAUAAUACCUCAUAAGAAAUGGUCCAAAUUACUCUUGACACCAUCUAUCAGACUUGCAUAUUGAGAAUAUUAUAACAGUGUAGAUACAACAAUAUUGGUUCUUAAAUAUACCACUUGAUAGUUAGGGGAAGAGGUGUGGUGGUGGAGGUCUCUCACAUGUUAUUUGUUGAUGACACUCUUAUUGUUUGUAAUUCUCGGAAGGAGCACAUAUAGUAUAUGAGUUGGACGUACAUGUUUCUUGAGGCAAUAUCAAGAUUAAAGAUCAAUCUGGAGAAGAGUGAGUCGAUUUUUGUUGGGGGCCUCUCUAAUAUGGAGGAGUUGAUUGGAGUUUGGGGUUUUAGAGUGGGCAAUCUCCCUAGCACUUGAUUGGGCCUUUCGUUGGGAACCCCUUUUGGGUCUUCUCGGGUUUGGGACAAGGUGGAGGAAAGAUUUGAAAAGGCUUGCUAUGUGGAAAGGAUAAUUCUUAUCAAAAGGAGAAAGACUAACUUUGAUUAAAGGUAUUUUGUCUAGCUUGUCAAUUUACUUCAUGUCUUUAUUUGUCAUCUUGAAAAGGGUGAGCAUUAGACUGGAAAAGAUCUAUAGCAAUUUUCUUUGAGAGGAGGGGCCUUGUAUAGAGGAUCGUAUUUGAUGAAUUGGUCUAUAGUUAGUAUGGAUAAGAGGAGUGGGAGUCUAGAUAUAAGAAACUUGUUCACUCUUAAUAGCGCUCUCCUUGGAAAAUGGUUAUGGAGAUUUGUGAUUGAAUGGUAUCCUCUUUGGAAACAGGUGAUUGUUAGGAAAUAAGAGGAGAAAAGAGGGGUGAUGAUGCUCUAGAGGAUUGAGUGAAGGUUAAGGAGUGGGAGUGUAGAAAGAAAUUGGGAGGGGCUAGGAAGCCUUCAGGUGUAGAACCAGUGUCAAGGUGGGAAGUGGAUGUAUGGUGAAAUUUUGGAAGGAUAGGUGGUGUGGAGACACUUCAUUGAGGGAGUCUUUUCUAGAGCUCUCACAAUAGUCUUUGCUAAAGAUAUAUAGAUAGUUAAGGUGCAGGAUGGGUAGUUGGAACCCUAUGUUUAUAAGAUAGUUUCAUAAUUGGGAUUUAGAGGGAUGAAAGUCUUCUUUAGGAGGUUGUAUGAGCAGACCAUUAGGAAGGACAUGGAAGACAAUUUGGCUUGGCUGAACACGAAGAGCGACAAUUUCUCAGUUAAGUCAUUCUACCACUAAUUGUAUAGAAGGGUGGAGACAUUUCCUUUUGGCAUAGUUUGAAAUUCUUAAUUACCAUUGAAGGUUUAUUUUUUGCAUGUGAAGCAAUGUGGGGCAUGAUACUCUCUUUGGGUUAGUUCAAAAAUAAGGUUCCUGAACGGAUGCUUCUUGUGCAAAGAAGAAGAAACAGUUGACCACACUGCUCGAAAGCAGUUACUUUGUGAUAGCUGAUUUAUGCCCUUCCUGGAGUUAAGUAGGUGACAUAUUCUUCAUUGAGAGGUGCUUUUUUGAGUUGGCAUGGGUCCUUGAAAAAGGAAGGAAAAAGAUCGGAAAGUUGCUCCUUUGUACUUACCUUAAACUGUUUGGAAGAAGAGAAAUAGGAGAGCUUUUGGGAAUAUUAAAAAAGUUGACAAAGCAAUUAAACAAUCCUUCAUAUAUGUACACAUAUUUGUUGGAAAGGGGUAGAGUUUUUAUAGGAUAUUGUUCCUUAUUGAUGAUGGACUUUAUGGAGUGAUUUUGGGCUCCAAGUAAGGCGUCCUUGUAUGUAUGAUAUAUACUUUUGUGUCUUUUUUAGGUGCCGUCAAUACAAUUGAUAUUUUAUCUAUCAAAAUAAAAAUAAAAAAUAAAAUGGGUUUUGGGGGUGCCUUCCCUCUUAUUAAAAAAAGAGUCAAAUGUCUCUGAGGGAGAGAAGUUGCAGAGGAAGAAACUGAAGCUUGUAGUUUUGUUACUUUGCCCACAACAAAACCUGUUCUUCACAACUAGGAUUAUAAUUUAUGCAUAGGCGUCUGUAUGGAUGGAAGUACAAUAAUUUAUCAGGGCAAGGUA
This 28332-nucleotide long non-coding RNA is filed under the name Vitis vinifera (wine grape). RNAcentral describes it as "long non-coding RNA (VVIN_LNC001442)". The record is from RNAcentral. Lineage: Eukaryota; Viridiplantae; Streptophyta; Magnoliopsida; Vitales; Vitaceae.